This 253-nucleotide ribosomal RNA is filed under the name uncultured bacterium. RNAcentral's name for it is "partial 16S ribosomal RNA". It matches the Rfam family "Bacterial small subunit ribosomal RNA", at positions 524 to 776 of the family's 1533-position model. The record is from RNAcentral.
UACGUAGGGUCCGAGCGUUGUCCGGAGUUACUGGGCGUAAAGCGCGCGCAGGCGGCGGUGCUGGCCCGGCGUGAAAGCCCCCGGCUCAACCGGGGAGGGUCGUCGGGGACCGCACCGCUUGAGGGCGGUAGGGGCUGGUGGAAUGCCUGGUGUAGUGGUGAAAUGCGUAGAGAUCAGGCGGAACACCUGUGGCGAAGGCGGCCAGCUGGGCCGUCCCUGACGCUGAGGCGCGAAGGCGUGGGGAGCGAACGGG